UGUUAUGGGAAUCGAACCCACAGUGUUCCGCUUAUCGGGCAGAUGCCAUGUCCACUAGGCUAC
RNAcentral lists this transfer RNA (63 nucleotides) under Cordylochernes scorpioides. Its description in RNAcentral is "tRNA-Ile". Lineage: Eukaryota; Metazoa; Arthropoda; Arachnida; Pseudoscorpiones; Chernetidae. The record is from RNAcentral.